GCAAUUGGGAAUUUUUGGCAAAUGGGGGAAACCUGAAUCCGGACAUCCGGGUUGGUGAAGGAAGCCUUUGGGGUGUAAAAGCUUUUUCAGUGGAAAGAAUAAGGUGGGGGUUAAUACCAUUCAGCGUUGACGGUACCGUCAGAAGAAGCCCCGGCUAACUAUGUGCCAGCAGCCGCGGUAAUACGGAGGGGGCGAGCGUUGUUCGGAAUUAUUGGGCGUAAAGCGCGCGUAGGCGGUUUGUUAAGUCAGAUGUGAAAUCCCCGGGCUUAACCUGGGAAGUGCAUUUGAUACUGGCAGACUAGAGUACGGGAGAGGGGAGUGGAAUUCCGAGUGUAGCGGUGAAAUUCGUAGAUAUUUGGAGGAACACCGGUGGCGAAGGCGGCUCCCUGGACCGAUACUGACGCUGAGGCGCGAAAGCGUGGGGAGCAAACAGGAUUAGAUACCCUGGUAGUCCACGCCGUAAACGAUGUCAACUAGGUGUUGGGGUAGGGAACCUCACAGUGCCGC
Molecule: ribosomal RNA, 507 nt
Filed under: uncultured delta proteobacterium
Lineage: Bacteria; Deltaproteobacteria
Description: bacterial SSU rRNA
Rfam family: Bacterial small subunit ribosomal RNA
Source: RNAcentral